Molecule: ribosomal RNA, 279 nt
Filed under: Segatella copri DSM 18205
Lineage: Bacteria; Pseudomonadati; Bacteroidota; Bacteroidia; Bacteroidales; Prevotellaceae
Description: Prevotella copri DSM 18205 partial 16S ribosomal RNA
Rfam family: Bacterial small subunit ribosomal RNA
Source: RNAcentral
UACGGAAGGUCCGGGCGUUAUCCGGAUUUAUUGGGUUUAAAGGGAGCGUAGGCCGGAGAUUAAGCGUGUUGUGAAAUGUAGACGCUCAACGUCUGCACUGCAGCGCGAACUGGUUUCCUUGAGUACGCACAAAGUGGGCGGAAUUCGUGGUGUAGCGGUGAAAUGCUUAGAUAUCACGAAGAACUCCGAUUGCGAAGGCAGCUCACUGGAGCGCAACUGACGCUGAAGCUCGAAAGUGCGGGUAUCGAACAGGAUUAGAAACCCCAGUAGUGACUGACU